This 1209-nucleotide long non-coding RNA is filed under the name Lactuca sativa (garden lettuce). Its description in RNAcentral is "long non-coding RNA (LSAT_LNC006157)". The record is from RNAcentral. Lineage: Eukaryota; Viridiplantae; Streptophyta; Magnoliopsida; Asterales; Asteraceae.
AUCAUCUGUUUGCUUCUGGUCACACCCUAUCAUCACCAGCAGCACCCUUCACCUUUUCUGCUCUGCUUCUGUAAAAUCGUUAUUUUCUCCACCUCUAUAUAGUCACAACACCCACCAGCGACCUACACUAUUACGUUGGUGCAAUGAAAGAAACACUCAUCACAUGUAAAGCCACACUCAUUCAAUAAGACCAACCCCCCUCAUAUCCCGUUUCAUUCAAAGUUUGAAACCCUAUCCCUUUCUCUCUCUGUAACCCUUUUCGUCUCACGACACCCUUCCACACUAUGCCUCCUUUUCCAUUCUGUAUGUGCUUUUUUUAUUAGAAGAAGAUGGUGAGUAGAAACAUUUUCCAGAAUCAACUUUGAUAUGGAAUGUGUUAUUUUUCUACAAUUGGUUUAAAAUGUGUGUGUGUGUGUGUGUUUUUUUUUGUGUUUACUUUCAGUUGAAUGAAGAAAGGUGAUGAAGGAGUUCAGAUCCUCAUGACACAUCUGAAGAUUGAUCCAGUAAGCAUCAUCUACGUCUUUCCAAUCAAUUUCUAUUUUUGUUUUUUUAUUUCUUACAAUUUAUCAUUUCUUUUGCUCCCCACAUGAGGCCUGGAGAAUGAAACACUUACUACAUAUAUCCAAGCCAAUAUGAUUGUCAGAACCAUCACUAAUGUUGGUGCUAUUAUAAGUGUAAAGCAUGAUCCUGAGAUUAAUAACCGCCUAUUUGCCAUUUGCUUAUCAUUCAUACACAUAGUUCAAACUAUUAGCUUUCUUAGGUUCGAAAUAUUCUUUCUAAUAUGUUUAUGUUUACAAUUUUCUUUUACAAUUUGUUAUCUCUCUUCUUUAUGAUUUGACAUAAGUGUUUGAAAAAGUAUUUUCAGAUCUAGAUGAAGAUGAACAAGAACGGGAAUGAAAAAGGGUUUAUAAUGCUUUUCAGAUUGCAUGAGGUAGCAAGGUAUUUUAUUUAUUUUUGAAAUGUAUUGAAGGAGUAAGUUGUUGUAUAUUAUGUAUGCAAGUUUUUUAAUGUUUUGUCUUUUCCGUGUCCUUUAAUUUGUAUUAUUAAAUUUAUAUUUCAAUUUUUUUCUAGCUAGAUAUUGUUGACUAAGAUAUGUUUGUUUUAGUUACUAUUUUAUUUUGUUGAGAUUUAGAUAAAUAUUGUUGAUGAGGAGGUUCUUUUUCAAGAAAAAGAAAAAACAGUGGCCAAGAAGCACCAGGUGUUGGCAAG